AUCUUUGGGAGCUUGCUCCUAAAGGUUAGCGGCGGACGGGUGAGUAACACGUGGGCAACCUGCCUGUAAGACUGGGAUAACACCGGGAAACCGGUGCUAAUACCGGAUAAUCCUUUUCCUCUCAUGAGGAAAAGCUGAAAGUCGGUUUCGGCUGACACUUACAGAUGGGCCCGCGGCGCAUUAGCUAGUUGGUGAGGUAACGGCUCACCAAGAGAAAGAUGCGUAGCCGACCUGAGAGGGUGAUCGGCCACACUGUUUUCCUCACACGGCCGAGACUCCUACGGGUCGUUCGUGUGGAUGGUUCUAG
RNAcentral lists this small RNA (307 nucleotides) under uncultured bacterium. RNAcentral describes it as "bacterial SSU rRNA". It matches the Rfam family "Bacterial small subunit ribosomal RNA", at positions 68 to 348 of the family's 1533-position model. The record is from RNAcentral.